AUGUUAUCAGGCGAAACAUCUUGGAUCAGGUGGAACCUUUGCACAGCCAGAAAAAUGGAAGAUUGCAGCUGACUUACAAACUGUUGCAAAAAAAAUAUGUAACGGGAGCCCUGUUGUACCUGUGAGGGAAGACAAACAUGCCUGUGAAGCCGCAAUCACCUCUCUUGCCUGGUAGAAAAUGGUGUCAUGCUGCUAAGAGGAUGCAAAUGGAUAACAACAGCUCGCAGCAUGGCCAAGGUCUUAUGGAGAUGAAGGCAUAAAUUCUGAGCUGCUGCAGGGGAUACGUAACGGGAGCCCUGCUGUACUUGUGAGGGAAGACAAAUGUGCCUGUGAAGCCACAAUCUCCUCUCUGGUCUGGUAGAAAAUGGUGUCAUGCUUGCUUAGAGCCUUUAACCAGGUUUCGGACCAGUCCCCCUUCUCUCAUCAGUCUAUGCUUGCACACAUUACGGUGAUCCCUAAGGAGGAGGUGUAUUCGUUUGUGCCCCGGUCAAUGCACAUUUUCUAAAGUUAAAACACAUCCUUACAAUACCCGGCCUGCCUUAGAAUGCCCUCUUCUACCCCGUCCAAUCAUCCUGUUACAAGAAGGUCAAAGUAAGAGAACUGCAUGCACUCACUUUUCCUGCAAUGAACAGAGUGAAACCCUGCAGCUUCCGCUAUGAAAACUAGUGUAGCACUCACUCUGCAUCUGCUCCAAAUUGCCUUCGGACUACAACAAUCAGAAGAGCUUUUGGAUCUUCUGACAAGAACGGAAGCACUUACUGUCCCAAAAUGCAAGGUACACAGCAUUGUGAACAGAAAAGCCAACGUUGUACUGGAUUAAUGAAAACGUUAAG
Long non-coding RNA from Pseudophryne corroboree (corroboree frog), 833 nucleotides. RefSeq lists it as uncharacterized. The transcript is spliced from 5 exons. NCBI's taxonomy places the organism in Eukaryota, Metazoa, Chordata, Amphibia, Anura, Myobatrachidae. The record is from RefSeq and is a predicted model, not a curated record.